GGGGGAAGGGCAUGGUGGACCCCCUGUUCCAAGCCCCCACCGGGAUGGGGACCCACGACGCCGUCCUCAGCUCCUACGAGUACCUCAGCCAAGGCCUCCGCGAGUACAACCUCGACAACAAGCUCGACGGCUUCUACAUCGCCCCCGCCUUCAUGGACAAGCUCGUCGUCCACCUCUCCAAGAACUUCAUGACCCUCCCCAACAUCAAGGUUGCUCACCCACCUCAUCACAUGCUUUCUUCUUAUUCUAUUAAUAACAUCUUGGCACCUGCAGAUUCCGUUGAUUCUGGGUAUAUGGGGAGGCAAGGGGCAGGGGAAAUCCUUCCAGUGCGAGCUGGUGUUCCGGAAGAUGGGGAUCAACCCGAUCAUGAUGAGCGCCGGUGAGCUGGAGAGCGGGAACGCGGGAGAGCCGGCGAAGCUGAUCAGGCAGCGCUACAGGGAGGCGGCCGACAUCAUCAAGAAGGGGAAGAUGUGCUGCCUCUUCAUCAACGACCUCGACGCCGGGGCCGGCCGGAUGGGCGGCACCACCCAGUACACGGUCAACAACCAGAUGGUGAACGCCACGCUCAUGAACAUCGCCGACAACCCCACCAACGUGCAGCUUCCCGGGAUGUACAACAAGCAGGAGAACCCCCGCGUGCCCAUCAUCGUCACCGGAAACGACUUCUCCACCCUCUACGCGCCGCUCAUCCGUGACGGUCGUAUGGAGAAGUUCUACUGGGCACCCACCCGCGACGACCGUGUCGGUGUGUGCAAGGGUAUCUUCCGUACCGACGGCGUCUCCGACGAGUGCGUCACCAAACUCGUCGACACCUUCCCCGGCCAGUCCAUCGGUACUACCCUAUAUUCAUUCAUUCUCUAUAUACAUAUAUCUCUUCACUUCAAUAUUUACAUCACAAUAAUCAUUUUCAUAUUGCAAAUCUACAAAAUACCUACUUUUUGACUUAUUAUACUGUUUUGACUUUACUUGACCAAUUUAAGACUAAAUUCAUAACUAAACCUAAUUUUAGUUGCGAAUUGCCCGCCCUAGCUAUUUCAAGAGCAAUUCAAAACUCUACAUACUCUUAAUUAUGAAUUAAGGGAUAAAACAGUAGAAAUGGCUGUUUUUAUCAUUUUUAUAUUCGUGGCUAGUUAUUUUACUAUCUUGAAAUGAUAAGUCCACUCUUUAUCAACGUAUCUAUUUUGUUGUUGUAAAGAUAAAAGGAAUAAAAGAAAAUAGUAAUUUUUUAGUUCAACGUAUUGUUUUGGUCUUAAUUAGCAUGAGGCUAGCUUUAGAUUAUACUAGGAAGCUUCGUAGUUGUAAAUUAUAAGCAAAGAGUAAUUCAUUUUUUUGAGGUGCAGUAAAAUAACGUUAUUCUGUUUACUUUCAGAUUUCUUCGGUGCUCUUCGGGCGCGAGUGUAUGACGAUCUAGUGAGAGAGUGGGUGAGCGGAAUUGGGGUGGAGAACAUCGGACGUAAGCUGGUGAACUCUCGGGACGGGCCGCCGGUGUUCGAGCAGCCGAAGAUGACGCUGGAGAAG
RNAcentral lists this long non-coding RNA (1518 nucleotides) under Salvia miltiorrhiza (redroot sage). Its description in RNAcentral is "long non-coding RNA (SMIL_LNC007313)". The record is from RNAcentral. Lineage: Eukaryota; Viridiplantae; Streptophyta; Magnoliopsida; Lamiales; Lamiaceae.